Ostrea edulis (European flat oyster) is the source of this 8548-nucleotide RNA transcript. RefSeq lists it as uncharacterized. The record is from RefSeq and is a predicted model, not a curated record. The transcript has 5 exons. Lineage: Eukaryota; Metazoa; Mollusca; Bivalvia; Ostreida; Ostreidae.
GGCCGCAGGAGCGGCCGAUCUAUUUGUGAUUGUGUUAGAAAGUGCGCAUGGGGAAAUGAGACGUUAUUUUUCCUGUUUCAAUAGAAUUAUAUUUUAUUAAUUACAGUCAUAGAAGUCAUGAAUAAGAUAUUUUAAAAUUGUUCUAUAUUGAGUCUUACUUGAUUUUUAAAAACCUAUCUUAUUUUUUUCUUAACGUUCAUAAGAUGUUAAUUAAUGAUUCUAUUGAAGUUUUUUAUUACAAUAAAUGCUCCCCAGGUGAGGAGUGUGCAAGAUAUAAAAGCAACUCGUUAUGAAUAUGAGUUUCCGGAUAGUAAUUCAGUAAAAUAAGACAAAAGUUAGUAAAAAAAAAGAUAUGUUCUGUUUAAAUUCACGUUUUGUGCAUCAUUAUCCUGUGUUUUGAAAAAACAACCCUAAUAUUGCAUUUCGCAUUUCGGGGCAAGUUACAGCAUUUUCUGCAAAAAACAUCUCGUCACGUGACAUAGAUCCAGGGUAUUAGCACGUGCAGAUUCUGCGUCCUUUUUCAAUUGACAGCCGAUGGAAACGCAUCGUCAAAAAUGGUAAGAGGUGUAUUAGCAAAUACUCAUCAAGGUUGUCAAAUAUUUGCACCAUUUAAUGGAGUACAAUGUACGGCAGUAGCACUCAUUGCUUUGCUAAUAUUUAUGACCUGCUUCAGAAGUCCCCGGUUUGACUUCACGUCAGAUUUCAGUAGUGUUCAGUUAGAUCAGAUGUUGCACGAUGGCACUAAACUUUAUGCCACUAUUUUUCAAGAAUUUCAAUCAUUACAAUAUUUAGGCCACAAUCAAAUGCCAAAAGUGUUGAAUUACCAAGAUAACGACUUUACUUUGGAAUAUUUUCUUGACUAUUAUUAUGGAAUCGUAGAUACAGGGACUGUCACUGUUUCACAAAAUGACGAAUUUGGACAAAUGAAUUUGUAUGAUGCAUUAUCACAAGCAAUGCUUAUAUCUUCAAAUUUCUUGUUGACUCUAAAUGAUCUUACUAUUGCUUUGCAUGCAGAUAUAAGUAACAAUCGGUUCUUGGUAUUUGAUUCACAUCAGAGGAAUCAAUUUGGAUUUCAAGAUGCAGAUAAUGGUGCGGCGGUGUUGUUGAGUUUUGAAUCUUUUGAAGAAUUGCACCAUUACAUUUGUGCUAGCUAUUCAUCAUUUAAUUAUGAACUCACUCCAGUCACAAGAGUAGAAAUAAGCAACCAGGUAAAUAACAGUACAAAUGUUGACCCCAAUCAACGUGAUGGACAACAUAAAUGUGUCUCUAAUGAUCAUUCAUAUGUCUCAAAUUCUAACUGCAAAAAGAGGGCUCGACAAAAGAGAAAACGAUGUUAUGUUGAAAAUAGAAAUGCCUCUGAAACCAUUGAAUCUGAUGUAAACAGACCAGUUGAUUAUAUGGUUUAUGAAAUAGAUAUGUUAGAUGUUUGUGAACAAUGUAAUGUGUCAACAGACAGUAGCGUUGAAUAUGUAGACUAUUUGGAACUGCCUUUUCAUGUACAUGAGUAUGAAAAAAGCAUAAGAGAGUCCCCUGAUAAGUGUUGUUCAUGUUGUUUUAGAAUUCUAUUUAAAGAUCAAACUUUUUUAAUGUCCGAGGUCAAUGAUGCAUGUAAAAGUAUUGAUUUGAAUGUAAGCAGUGAUUUAUGUAGCACAUGUAAAACUACGUUGAAACAAAAUAAAAUACCAAGCAUUAGUCUAAAAGGAAAUAAUUUAGACACAGGUUUAGUCCCCAGAGAGCUAGAAGGUUUAACUCUUCUUGAAAAGAAAAUGCUUAGUAAAAUAAAUGUAUUUAUGACAUUAAUUUUUCUUCCUGGGGGACAGUAUGCUCAGAAAGGAUUGGUUUUAAAUCUUCCAGUGAAUAUUGAAAACAUAAUUGAACAAUUUCCACAGAAUUUGGAACAGUGUCCUCUUAUAGAACUUAAGUUUGAGAAUAGUAAUGGAUCUCUAUAUGUCGGUAAUCACCAUAAAAUAAGAAGCAAAAAGUAUGCAGAAGCAAUGCAUUGGUUAAUCAAAAAUAAUUGUUGUUACACUGAUCUGAGCUUCAAUGUAAGUGAUCUUGUUAAUUAUUUAAACAAGUUGAAUGAAAAUUUCAGUACAUACAAUAAGGAAGAAGAAGAAUUAGAAGAAGCUGUAAUGAUUCCAGUGGAUAAUAGUUGCAAUAUUUCAAAAAAUGCAUAUAUUCAUGUUCAAAGAAGUAAGUCUGAACCUGUAAAUAUCUUGUUAACAGAACAUGGAGAAGAAUUAGCAUUUCCUUGGCUAUUCGUAAAUGGAAAAAAUGGUUUUUGUGCAGAGCGCCCCCUAAAAAUAAAUCCAUCGAUGUAUUUCAAAGUGAGGCUUUACAAUGAAAAAGGACAUUUCAGAAAAAACAUGACAUAUUUAUUGCAUACUGCUGCAUCUUAUAAUAUGUCUUUAUUAAAACAAGAGUUGGGAAUUCACAUGAAAAUUUUGAAGACUGUACAUUCGGGAGACCAAUCUUUUGUUACAGCUGGUGAUGUUAAAAAUAUGAAUGAAAAUUCAGAUUUACUUGAAAAUUCUUACAUGUUCAUGAAGAACAUUAAAGGUACCGUUGCUUACUUUAGAAAUGUUUUGUAUGAUCUUUUGGCAAUAUUUAAAAGCUUGGGCCCUCCUACACUCUUUGUCACAUUGUCAGCUGAUGAUUUACAUUGGCCAGAAUUGGGAAUGACACUUCAGAAUAUAAAUUUUAAAGAUGCUUUUGGAAAAUCUUUUUUUCAGUCAAUGAGGAAAGAUCCUUUACUUGCUGCUACACAUUUUGAUAGAAGAUUUAGAGCAUUGCUAAAACAUGUUAUUUUAGGAAAAACUAAACCUCUAGGAACAGUGUUGGAUUACUUUGCACGCAUCGAGUUUCAAAAUAGGGGGAGUCCUCAUGUUCACAUGUUUUUAUGGAUUGAUGGGUUACCUGCUGAACUUAAUCAUAAUACAUCAAAUGUUCCAGAUGUUGAACAAGAUUAUGAACUAAAUUUACUUGUAAAGAAAUUGCAAACACAUCAUCAUUCAUCAUAUUGUAGUCGUGGAUACAGAUUAAAUUGUAGGUUUGGAUUUCCUAGAAAAAUUGUUUCUACUACUAGAAUUUUACCAAAUAUUGAUUUACUUAGCAAAUCAAAAGCCAAAUUUUAUGAAACAAAGCGAAAUCAAGAAAGCACUUUCAUUAAUGAUUACAAUACAGUUCUUUUACGCCAUUGGAGAGCUAACAUGGAUAUUCAGUUAAUUAAAAAUGCUGAAGGGGCAGCAUAUUAUGUUUGUUCCUAUUUAUGCAAGUCAGAACCAGAUGAUUUAAGAAAUGCACUAGGAAACCUUAUCUAUUCAAUUUUUAGACAAAAUCCAAAUUUAUCUAAGUAUCAAAAAUUAUUGCAGAUUGGUCUCUGUGUUUUAAAACAUAGAAGAAUGAGUGCACAAGAAGCAGCUUACCGUCUUGGAAAUUUACAUUUAAUUCAUAGUACAAGGAAAGCUGUGUAUAUAAAUACACGUUUUCCAAGGAAGCGAUUCAAAAUGUUAAAACCAAAAAAAUUUAUUGAGGAAAUGAAUGAUAAUUGUACAGAUAUAUUCUAUACAAAUUUAAUGGAUUACUAUCAUGAACGACCACAUGAAUUGGAAAGUUUUUCAUUUUAUAGAUUUGCUUCUUGGUAUGAAAAAUGUACUCCACCAAAAGGUUCUUUACAUAGAAAAGCUUGUGAAAGAGUUUAUAUUGACAAACAUGGUGUUUGGUUAAAAAAGCGUACAAAACCUGUUGUAUUGAGGUAUCCAAAUUUUGCAUUAUUCAGUGAAGAUUACUUCUAUAGUUUUAUUCUUCUUUUAUUACCACAUAGGAAUGAGGAGGAAUUACUUUCAGGACAUGAUUCUGCAAAAGCAGCUUUUUUUGCAAAACGACAUGUAUUUGACACUAGCUUCAAUUUUCAGUACCUAUCAUUGACUGAACAAAUAUCAAAUAUUGUGAGAAGAAUACAUUUAUGUGAAAGCGAGUCAAAUUUCAAUGCAAGAAUUUACUUUAAUUCUGUUGACAAUAGUUCUCUUGAACAGGAAUCUGAUAUAAUAGUAGAUAUACCAUCAAAUUUUCAACAAAGUUCAUCACAUGCUUUUGCUAUUCCUGUUUUUAAUGAAGAUGUGACAUUUAAUCACUCUUUAACUUGUAGAAUGUCUGUUGAGGAUUACAAAACAAAUUUAAGAAAACUAACAAAGAGCCAAAAACAAGCACUUCACAUUGUACAUUGUCAUUAUCAAAAGUCAGCAAAGGAACCUUUGCAUUUAUUUAUAACAGGUGGUGCAGGAGUUGGAAAGUCCUUUAUUACUAAUAUAAUUAUUGCAUAUUUGGAAAUGUACACCAGUAAGAUACCAGGAUCAAAUCCAGUUGUCGUUUGUGCUCCAACAGGUACAGCAGCUAGAUCUAUUCAAGGGCUAACUUUACAUUCACUGUUGAGUAUUCCAGUUCAAAAUUACACUUCUUAUGAAGAACUUUCAAGUUUUAUGCUCAGUAAACUGCAGCGAGAAUUUUUGAAUAUUCAUACUAUUGUGAUAGACGAAAUAAGUAUGGUCAGUGAUAUGAUGUUAACCUAUAUUAGUCGAAGGUUAUCACAAAUCAAAAGGAAUAAUGCUGUUUUUGGUGGAUUAAAUGUAAUUGUAGUUGGAGAUUUUUUUCAGCUGAAACCUAUAAAAGGAAAAUAUGCAUUUCAUAAUAAACUCAUAUGGCAUCUGUUUUCACCAGUGUUUUUAACAGAAAAUGUUCGUCAAAUUGAAGAUCCUUCUUAUGCACAAUUGCUUAACAGAGCACGUGUUGGUCUACUAACAUCACAUGAUGUAAAGUUGCUUUUGACUAGAGUUAAUGUUAGAGAUACUGACUGUUUACAUAUUUUUCCAUUACGAAGAAAUGUUGCAGAAUAUAACAGUUUAAUGUUGACUGGUAUGGAUGAACAUACAUAUUCUUUAAUAGCAGAACAUUAUUUUAGUACAGCAGAUAUCAACCCAGGUGAAAAUGUACCAAGUUAUUUAAUACCUACUGAUGAGCGUGAUGCUGGUGGACUUUUGCAAACAUUACAAAUUUCUGUAAAUAGCAGAAUAAUGUUAAUCAGAAACAUGAAUACAAAGGAUGGACUAGUUAAUGGUGCCAUGGGUACUGUCUCUUCUUUUACUUGGAUUGGAGAGGAAAUAACAAAUCAAUGUUUUGUUUGAUGAUAGAAAUAUUGGUCGUUUACAUCAGUCAUCAUUUAACAAUAGUAGUUCUAUAAGUAUAGAAAGAUUUGAGCAUCAUUUUACAGUUUGUGGCAGACAUAUUGUUAGAAAACAGUUUCCCCUAAUUCCAGCAUGGGCCUGCACUAUUCAUAAAGUUCAAGGUUUAUCUUUUUCUAAACUUGCUUUGGAUAUAGGCAGUAAUAUUUUUGAAAAAGGAAUGGCAUAUGUCGCAUUAAGUCGAUUACGUACAUUAGAUGGACUUAUCUUACUUAAGUUUGAUCCAAAAGUUGUGGUACCUCCAGAUGAUGUUUUAGAGGAAUAUGAAAGAUUAAGAAAAUUUUUGUUUUUUUAGUAUUUUCUUCAAAGUAAGAUAUUGCAAUGUAUUAGAGAGUGAAAAUGGUGCAAAAUAUUUGACAAUCUACAUUAUCUUCUUGUGACAAAAACUUUCAUGUUUAUUAUCAAAUUAUUUCAGUUGUACAAUGUUCUUUAAGAUAAGUAGUGAUUGAUGAAAGAUAUCUAUAUAUAUCUUCAUGAUUAAAAACUUCUUCAAUACCUGUAAUACAUUAAUUUAUUCACUUGUGGUUAGAGACCUUUAGCACAAAAUAUGAACUGUUUAUUCGCAUGGAUAUAGAAAUCUGAACUGUACCUUUCAAUUAAAUAUCACAGAUGCCUAAGAGAAUUUAACAUUAUAUAUUACAUAUUACAAAGAGUGCAAUAUGCUUUGUAUCAUUCAAUUCAGUAUUCAAAAUAAGUGCUAAAAUUGGUCCUCACUGUAUUAUACUGUGGUUAAUAUUUCAGAUUGUUCAUUCAUUAUGAUAGUAUAACCAAAAUACUUCUGAAUUUGUGUGCAACUUUAGUGUACUUUCAUGAGAACUUCAAAAGAUUUAUACAGAGAUAAUAUUUCAUGUUUUACCAGGGUGAUGACAAAGUUAGUUUAAGUUUCAAAAUCAUCAAAAAAUCAAGUGCUUUGCAGUCUUACAAGAAAGGAGACUCCUUGGUGACAUAUUUCAAUUUGGUAGCAGCCAACAAAGAUGGUACUUAUAUUGUUCGAGUAUAUCUGAAGCACAAAUAUAAUUUCAUCAAAGAAGGAAUGUCAUACAGAUUCACAGAUAUGAUUAAGAAAGGAGACACAUUCUGGGCUGUCAGUACCACCACUAUUGGUUGUAUUGCUCCUCUGAAAAAUGUCACCACAUUGGACAUGGAACUCCCUGAAAAUGAGAAGCCUGAAGGAGCAUCUAGGUGUCUGAAGGAUGCACUACAUUGUCCUCACAAAUCCACAGUUAAAGGGAAGGUUGUACAGAUCUCUCCACUUAAACGAAGGAGAAAUGGUACCCUCGUCGUAAGGAGUAUCUCCCUAAAAGACACUUCUGGUGUUGCAAAGAUAUGCCUUUUCGAAUCUACAGCAGAAAUGCAGUUCGAAAGGGAUCAAAUAUUGCAAGUCACUUCCGUAUAUCCGAAGAUUUUUCAAGGUGCACAGCAACUGACAGGAUCAGUCAGCACAAAAUGCCAGUUUGUCCAGGAUGACAAUUUCAAAGAUUUACCUGUUACAGAGAAAGAUUUUCUUGAGGAUCAUGAUUUUGACAUAGAAGAGGAUCUUGCGGAUGGGGAACCUUUUCAGAUAAAUAUGAUUUCUGAUGCUUACAGAUAUUUGUGCUGUUCAAGUGAAGGUUGUCGCAAAAAAAAAAUACUUGACAACAAAUGCCCUAUUUGUAGCAAGGAGUCCAACAACACAUACGGAUGCAGAAUUACUGUAGAAGCAGAAAACUGCAAUACAAAUGUGUGCACUACAGCAUCCCUAUUCAAUGAUGAUGUAUGCUCUUUGUUCUCAAUUGAUCAGCAUACUCUUGCCAGUUCUGAUGACUUGCUGUACAAUUUGUCUCUGAAACUCCCGGUUCAUUUUACAGCUAAAAGGGUAAACAACAAGUUCUAUAACAUGAAAAAAAUGUAAAUCUUAUCAUGUGACCAUCUUUUUGCCGUGAUAGUUUGCUGUUUGGUAAUUUUAUGUUUUUGUAUGAUAUGUAGAUUUUACAAGGAGUUUUGUCUACUUUACAAUAUUUUAUAUUUCUCGCACUUAGAGAGAGUUUCAAAGCUUAUUUCAAUGAUUUAUGUACAUUUGCAUUCUUCAGGCAGCGUGAAUACACAUUUACAGUUGUGGCAUUAUUACCUAUAUGUUUAAUAAGUACAUUUUACAAGGAGUUUAGUCCACUUUAUCAUAUUUCAUGAAAUUGCAUGUUUUACACAAUUGUAGAUGUUCAAUGCCUUUGUUUUGUCAUGUAUCAUGUCAAUGACUGCAUAAUGUUUUCUAAGGCACAGAAUAAUUUUUUUUUCUCUUUUCUAUGUUUGCACGUUUAUUGAUCAUUACGCAAUUUCUUAUCAUCUGAAAUGUUAAUAUGUGCGUUAAAAAAAAUUUCGUCUGGGAAAGUCUUUAAUAUAAUGCAUUUAAAUCUUCUAGCAUUCCAUUAGUGUAUCAACAUGUUGAACUUUUAUAAAAUCCACAACAGUGUUAUGAUAUUAACAGUGUUAAAUAUUUUUUUAAUAACAUGUUUAUAUAAGUUCUGUUAUGAAUAUUCUGGUAUAAUUUUCCAGUUUUGAAUUAAUGACAAUACUUUAUACAACAAAAUUCAUAUAAGUUAUGAAAUAGUAAUACAUGUACACUUAUAUUGCAUGCUUGAAAAUAAUGCCAUAAAAACAUGUUUGUUGACUAUUUACAAGUAUACGAUUUUAAAUCCCUUUUAAGGAAGGCGUAAGAUGUGUACAUUCCACAUGCAAAUGUUCAAGUUUUAAAAUUCAUAUGUUUUAAUUGUCAAAAAUCAUUGACAUAUUCAUAAUUAUAAAUUUUGGGUAUAUACAUUGUACAAUAUUUCUUUGUUCUUUCUCAUCCUCAAACAAAUAUUUUGAUGAUGAAACAUUCCUAUUAUUUCAGUUUAAUUUUCAUAUACAUGAAUGAAGAUGACUCCACCCUCAAUUUAUAUGUCCAAAUUAGUGAUGCAGUAAUCACGCAAAAUGCAUAUUUUUCCAUCUUUUUUAACAGGGUAAAACAUAAAUAAACAGAAGUAUAUGUCAAAAUCACAUUUUCUUAGUAAACUGCAUGAUUAAAAAAGCUAACGUCCAAAUGACUUAACAUUUUUAAAAAUAUUGUGUUUAUACAUUAUUUGCAUUCAUUUUGGGGAGUGUAACGAAGAGUUAUUGCCCUUUCAUUUUGUGUAAUGAAUAAUUUAAUGUACAAAAUAUUAUCCCUUCAGCAUGUCAACAACGCAAAACCUUUGCAUCACAUAUCUUUUUCUUUCUUUUGAAAGUAUAGUACCACUUCUUUUCUUUUUGCAAUUUUUUAUACUGAUUUUGAAAAAAACAAUAAACUUCUGCAGAAA